GUCCAUGCCGUAAACGAUGUCAACUAACCGUUGGGUUUCUUUGAAACUUAGUGGUGGAGCUAACGUAUUAAGUUGACCGCCUGGGGAGUACGGUCGCAAGACUAAACUCAAAUGAAUUGACGGGGCCCGCACAAGCGGUGGAGCAUGUGGUUUAAUUCGAUGCAACGCGAAGAACCUUACCUACCCUUGACAUCCAGAGAAUCUGUUAGAGAUAGUAGAGUGCCUUCGGGAGCUCUGAGACAGGUGCUGCAUGGCUGUCGU
RNAcentral lists this ribosomal RNA (261 nucleotides) under uncultured bacterium. RNAcentral's name for it is "partial 16S ribosomal RNA". It matches the Rfam family "Bacterial small subunit ribosomal RNA", at positions 793 to 1055 of the family's 1533-position model. The record is from RNAcentral.